AUGAAAUAUCCAUCAGAAUAAGAUAUCCCCAAAUUUUAAGUCACAUCGAUAAAUUUUUCUCUUGGCUUGAAUCCCUUUUAUCAUCAAAGCAAUUGAUCGUCUUGUUGCACCAUCUUGCCAACAUAUCCCCACAGAGGCACUACUGAGUUUCAUAUACUCCAACCAAGUCUAGUUUGUGCUUAAACUUUCUACCUAAUCCUCGAACAAAGUGAUGUCUGCAUCAAGUUCUUUACACUUAACACCAAUUAUUUGAUCUACAUCUAAACUCCCUAACUAU
This 277-nucleotide long non-coding RNA is filed under the name Carica papaya (papaya). Its description in RNAcentral is "long non-coding RNA (CPAP_LNC009556)". The record is from RNAcentral. Lineage: Eukaryota; Viridiplantae; Streptophyta; Magnoliopsida; Brassicales; Caricaceae.